CGGAGGAAAAGAAACCAACAGGGAUUACCUCAGUAACGGCGAGUGAAGCGGUAACAGCUCAAAUUUGAAAUCUGGCUCUUUCAGGGUCCGAGUUGUAAUUUGUAGAAGAUGCUUCGGGUGAGGACCUGGUCUAAGUUCCUUGGAACAGGACGUCAUAGAGGGUGAGAAUCCCGUAUGUGAUCAGGACCCCUCGCCCAUGUGAAGCUCUUUCGACGAGUCGAGUUGUUUGGGAAUGCAGCUCAAAAUGGGUGGUAAAUUUCAUCUAAAGCUAAAUAUUGGCCAGAGACCGAUAGCGCACAAGUAGAGUGAUCGAAAGAUGAAAAGCACUUUGGAAAGAGAGUUAAACAGUACGUGAAAUUGUUGAAAGGGAAGCGCUUGCAACCAGACUUGCACGCGGUUGAUCAUCUGGGGUUCUCCCCAGUGCACUCUGCCGCGUUCAGGCCAGCAUCGGUUUCGGUGGUUGGAUAAAGGCCUUGGGAAUGUAGCUUCUUUCGGGGAGUGUUAUAGCCCUCGGUGCAAUGCAGCCUACCGGGACCGAGGACCGCGCUUCGGCUAGGAUGCUGGCGUAAUGGUUGUAAGCGACCCGUCUUGA
This 592-nucleotide ribosomal RNA is filed under the name Urceolella carestiana. Its description in RNAcentral is "eukaryotic LSU rRNA". It matches the Rfam family "Eukaryotic large subunit ribosomal RNA", at positions 51 to 657 of the family's 3401-position model. Lineage: Eukaryota; Fungi; Ascomycota; Leotiomycetes; Helotiales. The record is from RNAcentral.